This 466-nucleotide transfer RNA is filed under the name Pseudomonas sp. Its description in RNAcentral is "partial contains 16S ribosomal RNA, 16S-23S ribosomal RNA intergenic spacer, and 23S ribosomal RNA". The stretch from base 120 to 193 matches the Rfam family "tRNA". The record is from RNAcentral. Lineage: Bacteria; Pseudomonadati; Pseudomonadota; Gammaproteobacteria; Pseudomonadales; Pseudomonadaceae.
GUAGCCGUAGGGGAACCUGCGGCUGGAUCACCUCCUUAAUGGACGACAUCAGCUGCUCCAUAAGUUCCCACACGAAUUGCUUGAUUCAUUGAAGAAGACGAAAGAAGCAGCCCGAAAUUGGGUCUGUAGCUCAGUUGGUUAGAGCGCACCCCUGAUAAGGGUGAGGUCGGCAGUUCGAAUCUGCCCAGACCCACCAAUUUUGUGUGGGAAACGCCUGUAGAAAUACGGGGCCAUAGCUCAGCUGGGAGAGCGCCUGCCUUGCACGCAGGAGGUCAACGGUUCGAUCCCGUUUGGCUCCACCAGUACCGCUUCUGUUUGUAUAAAGCUUAGAAAUGAGCAUUCCUCGUUGUGAUGGUGAAUGUUGAUUUCUAGUCUUUGAUAGUUCGUUCUUUAAAAAUUUGGGUAUGUGAUAGAAAGAUAGACUGAACGUUACUUUCCCUGGUAACGGAUCAGGGUAAGGUAAAAU